Molecule: long non-coding RNA, 905 nt
Organism: Homo sapiens (human)
Lineage: Eukaryota; Metazoa; Chordata; Mammalia; Primates; Hominidae
Gene: GUSBP5
Product: GUSB pseudogene 5
Source: Ensembl
UCUUCAGCAUAGAACACAAACUCUGCCUUCUUUUCUCAAGUCCAGUGAUUCAAGUUUGACACACCACACCACGGUGGAUGUGCCUUGUCAUGACACAUCUCAGCAGCACUAGAAGAUACAUCCAAAGUCCUGUGAGCAAGGUCUGUGGUAUCUGUUUAUUAUGGCAGCCCAGUAAGACUAAGACAGGCCAUCACAAGACGUGAACGUUUUGGACCUUCUCUUGGGCCCUAGUAAACAGAAAUCAGGCUAUUUAUUAAACUAAUCCACGUUCUGAACAGUUAUUGCUACUGGAAACCAGUCCCGAUCCAGACCACAAAAGACGAUUCUUGGAUCUUGCACAAGAAAGAAAGGCUUAUAGAAGAGUACAGCAUACAGAAAAAUACAUCUUCUGCAAAGAAAACACAGUCAUGUAGAGAACCUUUCCAUCCCCAGUCUGGACCCAGUCCAGUGAUUCAAGUUUGACACACCACACCACGGUGGAUGUGCCUUGUCAUGACACAUCUUCUCAGCAGCACUAGAAGAUACAUCCAAAGUCCUGUGAGCAAGGACACAGCGAGAAGAUGGCUGUCUACAAGCCAGGAAGAGAGUCCUCACCAGAACCAAACCCUGCUGGACUUUGAUCUUGGACUUCCCAGCCUCUAAAACUGUGAAGACAUAAAUUUCUGUUGUUAAACCCACACAGGUCUGUGGUAUCUGUUUAUUAUGGCAGCCCAGUAAGACUAAGACAGGCCAUCACAAGACAUGAAUGUUUUGGACCUUCUCUUGGGCCCUAGUAAACAGAAAUCAGGUACGCAAAAGGGGUAAGCAUAUAAUUUCCUUUAUUUUUAUUUUUAAUGUGUAAGCCUUAGGUUUUUAUUUAUUUAUUUGGUGAAGACAAUCACAUUGUGUACGUACAAUGUAAUUAU